ACCCUGGCCGGCAACUCUGAGCUUACAGAGCGGCUUUGUAUUCCGCUUGAAAUCUGCCUCUGUCUCAACCCUUUUUUGUCCUGUACACGUCUCUGAAUCUGUUGAUAAAAUGUUGUGUUUAAUUGUGGUGCAUUACUUUCCCCAGGUAGAAAUUCAAUCCAUCACGCAAGAUUCUGCAAUUAUAAUGAGGCAAACCACACAAGAAAUUGCACGAUCUCUCCUUGAGCACUCAUUUCCAAAUAAUGAGCAACACCUACUGAAACAUCACAGCAAAACUCUGAGCUAACCAUAGUACGUCAACACCUUAUUCCUUCACCAUCGAACACUUGGGAGUAGAUGAGAAAAUAAAAACAAGCAGACUUCAGAGACUUGGCCAAGAUCUGACAUUGAGAAAGUUAAUUGGACCAGCACCUCUAAAAUUCAUGUUGUGCAUUGCUAGUUUGGGUCUCCUGUUUAGGCUGGAAAGCAGAAGGCUUUUGGAGAAGCCCAUUACUCAAGUUACUGCCGAUUCCUACUAACGCCUCCUCUGCCAAGUAAGGAUAACUAUGUGACCAAGUUCAGAAGAAAUCAGGUUUGACCAAAGCAAAUUUUAUUCCGCAUGAAGAAGCCGAUGACAAUGUUGGAUGAGUUGAAGACUCCGGGUUAGUUUUCAUUUCUCAGUACUGUCUUUUAGAAGCGUUUUCCUUGUGAAGAAGACAAACACGGCUAAACUAUCAGGCAGCUAAUGACCUGCAAUUUAUUUUUGCUAUAAAAAUGGUUGCCAUGUCCUGUAUCUGCCAUUGUCUUAUGAAUUUAUCCAAGAAAACUACACUGAAUUCAAAGACUUAAUCCUUUCCUAUAUCUUUCACAUUACUUCACCCUGUCUCCUGGACCGAGAUGAAUUACAAGUCAUUUGUACAUUCAGCUGCACAGAAGUUUUACCUAAAAAUAGCAAUAGUUAGUUUCCCUGGAUGAGAAGAGGUGUGCAGAUUGUAUGUGUAUACAGGUGCAGAUGCACACAGCAAUGUCCUAGUUGUGGAGUUUAACAGUGUCACUGUUCCACUCUUCACAAAGUACCGUCCUUUGGAACCUCUCCCUCUACUACCCCCGGGAGCCCUUUUUAUCCAAACAUGAAAAUGUUGUUCCUCCCUAUCGUGGGCUAAUUACACCAUCUGUUUAGCCACAGCACUAUUAAUGUUCACGCCUUCACACUCCCACGUGCGCUGCCCCCAGACUCCUCUACUGUCAGAUGUACGAGCAGCAGAGAAGGGAAGGAAAUCGGUCUGCAGCUUCUCCACCUCCCCACAGUGCUCUGCGCAGGGAGGAGGACUCAGGCCUCUCGCCGUCCCUCUCCGCGUUCCUGGUGCAAACCGCCAACGUGAACAAUUCCGACAAGGAAGGCAAUCGAACCCCCUUCCCUCUACCAACCUAAAACCUGGAAAAUUCAGAACUGCCCUGGGAAAGAGAAAAUGACAGUACCAGCCACGAAAGGCCAGCUAAACACUCCGUCAUCUGACAGGCACUGCUUAUCCCUGAAACUGACCCAAAAGCAGCAGUCCCCGGAAGCAAGCACAGCUGCGCAUGUGGGGUUCCUUGCCCACAGUUCAAGCGACUGCAGCGACUUCGCACUGGAGAAGCGAGACCCAAGCACUGCCCCACACUCCGAUGAUGGCGGAGAAAAAAGAAAAAUCUCCUCUCAUGAGCACACCCAGCUCUUGCAAGGAAACCGCCAAGUUUUCACGUCCUUUUUUUCGAACAAAAUGGAUCUCAGUCUACGUUACUUUUAUUCCUGUUCAGUUACAUAUUUAUGUUGCCAGUUAGAGAAGUAAGCCGUGUCAAAAGGGAGGAAAAGACGACAAAAUGCACACUCAGAAGACCAAAUAUAAAAAGUUAACUUAAAACUUUGCCCUUCACAGCUAUCUUUAAAAGAACAUGAUGAGAGAAAAAAAAAAAAAUGUAAGCACAAAGAAAUGGUUUAAAAAUGACUCUUCCACAUUCAUCUUUUUACAUUUCUUCUAAUGGGCCAAUUUAAUCAAAAUGUUUUUCUUCAGCACACAGUUCCCGGCAUUGUCCAGAGUUGUUACAAAGGAAGAAAAUACAUAUUUAUACACCUCAAGCAUAAAUAGUUACCUGUAACAACAUUAUGGAAAUGAUUGUUCCCUUUUGAUAUUCCCUAUAUAUAUGACAUCCAAAUGUCCUAAUGAAAAACAGCAAUUCCUCAGAGGCUGGAACAUCACUGAUGAUAAAGAAAUAAGGAAAAGCUAUUAGAGAAAGCAUUAAAAUCACACUUAAAUACAUUUGCCUAACAAGUGCCCUUAGGGGGAAAAUCACUAAAAUAGUGGUUCUGCACAAAUACCAAUUUAAAAAAAAUAAAAAUUAUAAGUGCUUACAAAAGCCUCAAUACA
Chinchilla lanigera (long-tailed chinchilla) is the source of this 2384-nucleotide long non-coding RNA. RefSeq lists it as uncharacterized. The transcript is spliced from 3 exons. The record is from RefSeq and is a predicted model, not a curated record. NCBI's taxonomy places the organism in Eukaryota, Metazoa, Chordata, Mammalia, Rodentia, Chinchillidae.